Molecule: ribosomal RNA, 379 nt
Filed under: uncultured eukaryote
Lineage: Eukaryota
Description: partial 18S ribosomal RNA
Rfam family: Eukaryotic small subunit ribosomal RNA
Source: RNAcentral
CAAUAGCGUAUAUUUAAGUUGUUGCAGUUAAAAAGCUCGUAGUUGGAUUUCGGAUGGGACUUGCCGGUCCGUCGUUUCGAUGUGCACUGGCCAGUCCUAUCUUGUUGUCGGGGACUAGCUCCUGGGCUUCACUGUCCGGGACUAGGAGCUGACGAGGUUACUUUGAGUAAAUUAGAGUGUUCAAAGCAAGCCUACGCUCUGAAUACAUUAGCAUGGAAUAACACGAUAGGACUCUGGCUUAUCUUGUUGGUCUGUGAGACCAGAGUAAUGAUUAAGAGGGACAGUCGGGGGCAUUCGUAUUUCAUUGUCAGAGGUGAAAUUCUUGGAUUUAUGAAAGACGAACUUCUGCGAAAGCAUUUGUCAAGGAUGUUCUCAUUAA